Long non-coding RNA from Biomphalaria glabrata, 619 nucleotides. RefSeq lists it as uncharacterized. NCBI's taxonomy places the organism in Eukaryota, Metazoa, Mollusca, Gastropoda, Planorbidae. The record is from RefSeq and is a predicted model, not a curated record. The transcript has 3 exons.
CGCCAAACUAACGUGAGAUUAUGACCGCGCGUGAACAUCUCAGAAGCAUGUCCGAUCUGCGGCUCUCAAUUCCAUUUCAUUGUUUUAGCGAAUGAGCUGGAUCUCUCGCUAGAUGGAUACAACAUCUAGUUAGCUUUGGAACAAAGUCAACAAAACCAGGAAAAAGAAUAAGAGGCAGACAGAGAAAGCUAUAGGAAGACAAUAUUAAAAAAUGGACAGACAAAAGCCAGAGAGGAAUGGAGAAAGACAGUCAGCAGAUCUUGUGUGGUACACCAGCGGUUUAACAGACUAAGGGAUCUGGGAAGCUGACAGUGCCAGGCGGGAGAAUCGAGGCGGACAAACAUAUAUGGAUGAAAUCACGAAUUAGACAGAGACAAAUCCUCAACAAGCACAGCAGUAGAGAGCAGGGGAUGUUUUGAAGUUCCGCAAGAAUCAACAUUGUCAUCCACUAGACCCUUCCAAGUGGAUGACGAGAUAGAUUCUAGAAGAAGAAAAUUAACUGUUAGUGCACUGACAUUUAGAUUUCAGGUAAUACAAAUUGAAUAGAUCAAGUAGGCCUACAACUAUUUUGAGAUAAACAAUUUAUCACACUGUGUUUUCUGUUACUAUCUGCUCUGGU